Carica papaya (papaya) is the source of this 608-nucleotide non-coding RNA. Lineage: Eukaryota; Viridiplantae; Streptophyta; Magnoliopsida; Brassicales; Caricaceae. The record is from RefSeq and is a predicted model, not a curated record.
AUUCCAUCCAAUCAGAGUUAAAAUUACUUGAGAACUCGUAAUGGAUUUUAGAAGAUUUCUCGAUUUGUUCCAGACAUAACCUAAAACUAUUGUUGUUUGUUGUUUUAUUAUUCCCCAGUCAAGUGCACAAACAUCACCUCUUUUAUUUAUCCAUGGAGAUGGAGCUAGUCUGAUUUUUAUUCGCAAAUCAAAAUAGCAGGGACCAAGCAGCUAAAUAGCUUGACAAACCAUCAUUGCUCCCCUUGUUUUAGUCCUUCUAUUAGCCUCUUGCUACACUCUCCUUUCUCUAUUUCUUGACUGCAAGUUGAUAGGGUUGUCUGUGUACUGUGAGCAAGAUGAACAGAUUUUCGUUACAUGCAUUUUCAUUCUUUGUUGCUUUCCUUAUAAAAAAUUCAGGGGAAGAUUGCAGAAGGACUUGCACACCUGCGAAGAAUUGGAAAUUUGAAAGAGCCACAUGAACCCAAGAGCAAAGCCCAUUAUUAUGAUGGAUUGAUAUUGCUGGCUAGUGCUCUAUACAAUGAAGGUUGCAAGGACGAGGCAGUGAAGUAUUUGCGUUUGGCUGCUGCUUUUGAUCCCGCUUACAAUGAGUUACUCGAACAGUGUAAAAA